CUUUGGGGAGAGAUUUGGUUCUCCCUAAAUCUUCAAUUCCCUUUCCUAGUAUCAGGAACUAGCCAGACCUGAUUAUAAGUAGUAGACACUUUAUUUGGGUUCACACAGGAAAGGGAGAGGUAGGGGUGUCAGGUUGGAAAAGUGGGUAAACAAGAAGCCCUAUUUACUGGCAGACUGACCCCCCUAAACUUUUGAGGUUCAGCCUCUUGGCCUUGACCCCUCUUCUGCUUGAGAAUUGGAGUCCAGGACAAGUUAGGGAAAGGGAUGGAGAAUAAAUCUUUGGAGAGAGGAUUUCUCUGUAGAUGGCUUUCUUCAAAGUCCCAGUCCACAAUAUCUUAAGCUGAGUGAGAGAUAUUCAGGGGUUCACUGGGAAACAGUUGAACUCCAGAGAGACCCAAUCUUAGGAUAUCUGCUUCUCAGGCUCCCAGCUGAAGAAGUGCCAGAGUAAUUGGAGUUCUUCUAGCUUCUGUCCUCUGACUGGAACCUUGAGUUUUUCCUCUUCUUGUACCUCCCCCACUCACUCUCUGCUCCUUGCACAAUUGGAUUUGAUUUCUCUCUCUUACACAAGCCAGAGUAUGGCUUGUUCAGCCAAUCUCUUGGUUUCUUGUUCCCUUUGUGUCCCCCUGAAUAAGGCUCCUUUUAUCUGACUGUGAUCAAGUUAAGUUUAAUGUUGAUUAAGAUAGCAGAAGGUGGGGAACCGGUAAAGGUAUAUGAGGUCCUUCUUCCUGGUUGACCAAAUGGCUAAAACCAGAAAUUCACCUUCCCUUUCCCUAAUUCUUAUCCUAAUCUAAACUACAGUAUUAGGGCUGACAGGGAUUGAAUAAAAGCAGGUAAGGGUGAAGGUCUUUAGGGGUCUGGCUCAGAGGCCAACUGAGUUCUUGACCCCUCAGGUCUGGAGAGACCAGAAUCUCUCUCCUUUGUUGUUGGUAAAGGCUGUCAGGCAACACCAGGAUUUGAGAUGAGAUAUCCACGGCUAAUCCUGUGGGCUGACUUUUGUUUGAUCCCAAGAAGACAAGAGUUCCUCCUCUCUCCCCAAGAUCUCAGAUCAAAAGCCCCUCUCCUUUCCGGAUCCUUUCCCGGCGGGGUAUGGGGCAUGGCAAGCCAUAGAAAAGUCUCUUAGUCCUGUAUAACUCUCUUCCCUUUCUGCACUGACAAUGCCACAUCCUAGGUGUCAGGGAAGUGUUUUUGGAUCAACUAUUAGCAUUCAUUUUGAAUUAGCAUUCAUUCAAUUAAAAAAAUUAAUACUGGAUUAGAAGUUUUCCUUAAUCUCAUUUUAAAUUUCUACUUGAAACAAUGAAAUUAUAUAUGCAAUAGGGUAAUGGAAUUAUUCCCACUAAAUAUAGUUAUAAAACAGGUCUACUUUCACUGUUUCUAUUUGACAUAAUUUUAGAAGUGUUAACUAUAGGAGUAAUCCAUGGGAAACUUUUUUAAAAGCACUUAACGGAGAGAGACCAGACAAUAUUCUUUCGUCAAAUAGCAUCACUGAAGUUUGCUGGAUUGGCAAAACGACAGUUGAGAAAGGGUAUUAUUUAUGCAGGGCCAUUCUUCAUGCACAAAGCAUGCGCUUUGGCCAAUGGCUUUCCAAAGCAUGGAAUUUUCUUUGAUUCAUACACUUAAUAAAGCACUGAGCCCCUUCCUUAGGGAAGUGGCC
This is a long non-coding RNA of Monodelphis domestica (gray short-tailed opossum), 1651 nucleotides long. The record is from Ensembl. NCBI's taxonomy places the organism in Eukaryota, Metazoa, Chordata, Mammalia, Didelphimorphia, Didelphidae.